UCUAAUAUGGCAGAAUAGUGCAGUAGAUUUAAGCUCUACAUAUAAAGAUCACCUUUUAUUAGAA
RNAcentral lists this transfer RNA (64 nucleotides) under Tettigonia chinensis. RNAcentral describes it as "tRNA-Leu". The record is from RNAcentral. Lineage: Eukaryota; Metazoa; Arthropoda; Insecta; Orthoptera; Tettigoniidae.